UAAAAGGGUCGGUUGGCUAAAUAUGCCACGCCCACCCUUGUCUGGUGGGUGCCGUAUGGCUAUCAAGACAUAUGGCCGACAUAAUUUGUGGGAACAAAUAGGGUUGGCUCGCUCGGCCGACCCUCCA
Small nuclear RNA from Gossypium raimondii (Peruvian cotton), 127 nucleotides. It matches the Rfam family "U11 spliceosomal RNA". NCBI's taxonomy places the organism in Eukaryota, Viridiplantae, Streptophyta, Magnoliopsida, Malvales, Malvaceae. The record is from Rfam.